Molecule: unclassified non-coding RNA, 400 nt
Filed under: soil metagenome
Description: partial contains 5.8S ribosomal RNA, internal transcribed spacer 2, and large subunit ribosomal RNA
Rfam family: 5.8S ribosomal RNA (bases 1-122)
Source: RNAcentral
GAUGAAGAACGCAGCGAAAUGCGAUACUUGGUGUGAAUUGCAGAAUCCCGUGAACCAUCGAGUCUUUGAACGCAAGUUGCGCCUCAAGCCAUUAGGUUGAGGGCACGUCUGCCUGGGCGUCACAUAUCGUUGCCUGAUGCCAGUUUCCUCGUGAUGGGUGACUGUGCAGGGCGAAUGAUGGCUUCCCGUGAGCAUUGUUGCCUCUUGGUUGGUUGAAAAUUGAGUCCUUGGUAGGGGGCGCCGUGAUAGAUGGUGGUUGAGUGACGAACGAGACCCAAUCAUGUGAGACCCCUACCGAAUUUGGCCUUCAUGACCCACAUGCGUCUUUGGAACGCUCAUGACGAGACCUCAGGUCAGGCGGGGCUACCCGCUGAGUUUAAGCAUAUCAAUAAGCGGAGGA